RNAcentral lists this ribosomal RNA (497 nucleotides) under uncultured bacterium. RNAcentral's name for it is "partial 16S ribosomal RNA". It matches the Rfam family "Bacterial small subunit ribosomal RNA", at positions 28 to 507 of the family's 1533-position model. The record is from RNAcentral.
GAUGAACGCUGGCGGCGUGCCUAAUACAUGCAAGUCGAGCGAACGGACGAGAAGCUUGCUUCUCUGAUGUUAGCGGCGGACGGGUGAGUAACACGUGGAUAACCUACCUAUAAGACUGGGAUAACUUCGGGAAACCGGAGCUAAUACCGGAUAAUAUUUUGAACCGCAUGGUUCAAAAGUGAAAGACGGUCUUGCUGUCACUUAUAGAUGGAUCCGCGCUGCAUUAGCUAGUUGGUAAGGUAACGGCUUACCAAGGCAACGAUGCAUAGCCGACCUGAGAGGGUGAUCGGCCACACUGGAACUGAGACACGGUCCGGACUCCUACGGGAGGCAGAAGUAGGGAAUCUUCCGCAAUGGGCGAAAGCCUGACGGAGCAACGACGCGUGAGUGAUGAAGGUCUUCGGAUCGUAAAACUCUGUUAUUAGGGAAGAACAUAUGUGUAAGUAACUGUGCACAUCUUGACGGUACCUAAUCAGAAAGCCACGGCUAACUACGUG